GAUGAAGAACGUAGCAAAAUGCGAUAAGUAAUGUGAAUUGCAGAAUUCAGUGAAUCAUCGAAUCUUUGAACGCACAUUGCGCCCGCUGGUAUUCCGGCGGGCAUGCCUGUUCGAGCGUCAUUUCAACCCUCAAGCCCCCGGGUUUGGUGUUGGGGAUCGGCUCUGCCCUUCUGGGCAGUGCCGCCCCCGAAAUACAUUGGCGGUCUCGCUGCAGCCUCCAUUGCGUAGUAGCUAACACCUCGCAACUGGAACGCGGCGCGGCCAUGCCGUAAAACCCCAACUUCUGAAUGUUGACCUCGGAUCAGGUAGGAAUACCCGCUGAACUUAAGCAUAUCAAUAAGCGGAGGA
RNAcentral lists this unclassified non-coding RNA (348 nucleotides) under soil metagenome. RNAcentral's name for it is "partial contains 5.8S ribosomal RNA, internal transcribed spacer 2, and large subunit ribosomal RNA". The stretch from base 1 to 120 matches the Rfam family "5.8S ribosomal RNA", at positions 35 to 154 of the family's 154-position model. The record is from RNAcentral.